This 240-nucleotide ribosomal RNA is filed under the name uncultured bacterium. RNAcentral describes it as "partial 16S ribosomal RNA". It matches the Rfam family "Bacterial small subunit ribosomal RNA", at positions 32 to 247 of the family's 1533-position model. The record is from RNAcentral.
AAUCAACGCUGGCGGCGUGCCUCAGACAUGCAAGUCGAACGCGAAAGUCCCCUUCGGGGGACAAGUAGAGUGGCGCACGGGUGAGUAACACGUAGGUAAUCUACCUUCGGAUGGGGAAUAACAACCGGAAACGGUUGCGUAAUACCGCAUAAAUGCAGCGGCACCUAAUGGUGACAGGUUGUUAAAGGCGGGGGAUUGAAAGACCUCGCGUCUGAAGAGGAGCCUGCGGCGGAUUAGCUU